RNAcentral lists this unclassified non-coding RNA (2184 nucleotides) under Monomorium pharaonis (pharaoh ant). Its description in RNAcentral is "angiogenic factor with G patch and FHA domains 1, transcript variant X4". Lineage: Eukaryota; Metazoa; Arthropoda; Insecta; Hymenoptera; Formicidae. The record is from RNAcentral.
GCAAUGGUACACCUUUCUUAUUACAUCAUGCUCACUACUCGGUGAGCUUUACUACACUGACGUUUCCGAACGCAGCUUCUGGCAGCCUAGACUUUGCAUUAAGGAAGUUUUUAUUGUAUUAUCUUAACCUCUAUUAACCUUUCGUAUUAUUUUUCUUAAGAUAAUACAAAUUUAUGAAAUUUGUAGGGAAAAUUAAAAUUUGAAUUUGUAGUUAAGCUAAACUAUUUGCUGUAUGUUUUAAUUUUGUCUUUGAAAAAUUCUUGUGGACGUGAUGUAUAAGAUGUUUUAAGAUAUUGAAUUAUAUAUGAAUGUAAAAUGCAUAGUGAAAGUGAGGAAGGAGAAAUUGUAUCAGACUUCGAAGAAGAUUUUGCAGAAGAGUUAUGCAGUUUACCUCAUGUUCUAAAAUUCAUACAUAAACGGAAUGAAUAUAUAAAAAAACAACGGAAAAAAAUUGAUAAACUUCGAAAGAAACUCAAUCAGAAGAAACAGCAAAACUUGAUAUGUACAAAAACAUUUGUACACUGCGGGACUCAGACAAAUCCUUUAAUUUUUAAUGACUUAUUAUCACAAGAUUGGAAUAUUAAUCACAAUAUUAAUUCAUCAAGUAUAGUAGAUCAAGUGAAGCAAGUAGCAGAAUCAGCUUUAUUACAGACUGGAUUUGUUUAUGAGCACACAUCAGGAAUGUAUUAUGAUUAUAAAACUGGAUAUUAUUAUGAUACGAAUCAAGGUUUAUAUUACGAUGGAAACACUGGAAUAUAUUACUAUUAUGAUGAGGAUAGUAAUACGUAUCAAUUCCAUAGUCAAAUCUGUAUAGACAAAACUAUUCCUACAUACCUUUCAACUUUCCAAAAGAAGGGAGAAGAUACUGAAAAAAUAUAUAAGGAUGACAUGAAAAAGGGAAAAUAUACAAAUGAAGAAAAUUUUGAAGAUAAAGAACCAGAAGAGGGUGAAUAUUUACAGAGUGAAAAUGAGGGCAUUUCUGACAAAAUUAUUCCUGAUGUAUCUACAAAUAGCGAAAGUGAUGAUGAAAAACAAGAUUUAGCGAAAAGUUAUCCACCAUGUAUGAGACUUAUUGUUAAGGAAACAGAUUUAGCAAAAUUAAAAUUGGGUUCUCUCUUUCUCGUGACAUGUACAGGAGGUACGUUAGGUCGAGAGGGAGAUCAUUCAGUGCUGAUAUCGGAUAUAAAUAUUAGCAAGUAUCAUGCACGUUUUAUAUACGAUGAAACUAAGAAACAGUAUCAAGUGAUAGAUUCCGGUUCAAGAAAUGGUACUUUUAUAAAUGGUAAACGAUUGUCAGUAGCUAAACAGGAAUCUGAGCCUUAUGAAAUAACGCAUGGAUCAGUUAUAAAAAUUGGUGGAACGAAAUUACUGUGUCAUAUUCAUCACGGAAAUGAAACUUGUGGUCAUUGCGAACCAGGUCUUGUUCAACAAAACAUUAAUCUCAAUGAAAAUAAAAUUUUGAAGACAAAACUUUAUAAAGAAGAGUUGCGACGUCUAAAACAUAAAUUUGGAAUUGAAAAGGAUAAUGUUGUGUCUAGUGGUCAAUUAGCUUCAGGUUACCAAGAUAGAGCACAAGCUAGACGGCUGUAUGUAGGUUCGUCGGAUCCUCACGCUAAGACACAACAAAGUUCUGUUCACACAUCAAUAACAAAGGACAAUAAAGGAUUCAAAUUGCUUUCGAAAAUGGGUUGGUUCGAAGGUCGUUCUUUGGGCAAGGAUGGAAAUGGAAGGACAGAACCUCGUGCUCUUAUUCGUCCGCUAUCUAAAAUUCGUACAUCUAUGUUCCCAUUUGACACACGACCGAUUGCCAACUUAUUGGAAAUGUCUAAACUCCUUGAAAGGAUUGUUGCUGAUCAAAUACUAAUACGCAGUCUGCUCUAUUACGUGUGUGUAACGAUAUCAAGGCGGGAUAGAUGGUGGACUCAUCACUAUCAUGAUGAUGUACUUGGGCACACAUCACAAAUGAUGUACGCGUGUCCUCAUUAAUUAUUGUAACACUUGAGAAGGACCCAAAUCUAUGGUCGAAACGUGUGUGAUAUCUAACUAAUAAAUUUGGCCAGAAAGUUACUUAUCGGAUGCAAUCAUAACAAAGUUGGUCUUGGAUCGACACGAACAGAUGUUGCUACCCUCGAGUUAUAUCCCAACAUGGAAAAGAAACAGGCAAUUUGGCGAAAAACACAAAAA